RNAcentral lists this long non-coding RNA (1335 nucleotides) under Vigna radiata. Its description in RNAcentral is "long non-coding RNA (VRAD_LNC008883)". Lineage: Eukaryota; Viridiplantae; Streptophyta; Magnoliopsida; Fabales; Fabaceae. The record is from RNAcentral.
GCUUCGAUUGUCUAGGGACAGAGGCAAUAGGACCGUUUGGUUUUGGUUCUGCUAUGAACAGAGGCAGUAGCCGAACGUUUCAAGUUCAUUUUGUCCACUAGUAUGUCUCGGUUGUCUGGGGGCAGAGGCAAUAGGAUUGUUCGGCUUCGGUUCUGCUAUGAACAAAGGCAAUAACCGAACGUUCCAAGUUGAUUUUGUCCACUAAUGUUCUCGGUUGUCUGGGGACAGAGGCAAUAGGACCGUUCGACUUCAACUCUGCUAUGAACCGAAGCAAUAUGUCUUGCCAGACAGGUGACCUUCUUUGAACCGAACAUUCUGAGGCAUUAAUAUGCCUAAGUUUAGGCCCAAAUUGAGGCCUAUAGGACUGUUCGGCCUCAGUAAUAGGACCGUUCGGCCUCGGUCUUUUAACCGAGGUAAUAGUCAACACGAAUGCAUUUUCUCGUGCAAUGUUCUUCCUCUUCCCUUUCGUGCCUCCAAAGAAGUUCUUCUCUCCAACCUAGGGUUCUUGUUCCUCUUCUACUCUCCGCUCUGAUUCGCGGCAAAGGAGGAAGCUUCCUUCCCUCCCCUUUUUUUUAUUUCAAUUAAGUUGUUUUCUGUUUGAUUGGUUCUCUGCGAGAGUGGUGGUGUUUGAUUUUAUUCCUAAUCUCUUCUCUCUGCCAUUUAUCUUCUUCACCCUUUUCUCACUGGUUCUAGGUUUGUAUUGUAGAUAGGGGAAACACCAAUUUUUUCCCUAUUGCUGGUUUGUCUCAACAAACCUUAUUCAAAGGUUUUAUUCCCAAUCUAUUCUCUCUGCCAUUUAUCUCGAGAGGGUCUAUUCAUAAUAUCUUCUCUGCCAUUUUUAAGACUUCUCUCAACAAACUUGCUUCAAGCUUCCUUUCUCGUAGACAACCAACCUGGGAGAGGCGGCUAUGGUGAGACGAGGGCGCGAUAAGGGCACUGCGAUGGUGAGGCGAGGACACUACAAGGGCACUACGAGGGUGAGAACCGUUCGGCGAGGACAAUAACCAUUCAACGAGGGCGAGAAUCGUUCAACGAUGGCGAGAACUGUUCGGUUCAGUACACACCGAGGCCUAAAGUUUGAAAAACAAAAACACCCUACUGCCUCGGUUAUCUAAGAACAGAGACAAAAAUCCGGCCCCAUUUUGCCUCGGUUUUUUACCGAGACAAAAAACCUGUCCUGUUUACCUCGUCUGUAUAUGCCUCGGUUAUGAACCACUGUCUAUAGAUGAAAAUAACCGUUAUUGUUUUCCUUUACUACACUAAUUAACUAUGUAAUUUAUAAAUAUGACACCUAAUUACAUUAAACUUCAGUACACUAUAAGAUUAGACUUAUUU